GAUGGACGCUGGCGGCGUACCUAAUACAUGCAAGUCGAGCGAACGGACGAGAAGCUUGCUUCUCUGAUGUUAGCGGCGGACGGGUGAGUAACACGUGGAUAACCUACCUAUAAGACUGGGAUAACUUCGGGAAACCGGAGCUAAUACCGGAUAAUAUUUUGAACCGCAUGGUUCAAAAGUGAAAGACGGUCUUGCUGUCACUUAUAGAUGGAUCCGCGCUGCAUUAGCUAGUUGGUAAGGUAACGGCUUACCAAGGCAACGAUGCAUAGCCGACCUGAGAGGGUGAUCGGCCACACUGGAACUGAGACACGGUCCAGACUCCUACGGGAGGCAGCAGUAGGGAAUCUUCCGCAAUGGGCGAAAGCCUGACGGAGCAACGCCGCGUGAGUGAUGAAGGUCUUCGGAUCGUAAAACUCUGUUAUUAGGGAAGAACAUAUGUGUAAGUAACUGUGCACAUCUUGACGGUACCUAAUCAGAAAGCCACGGCUAACUACGUG
RNAcentral lists this ribosomal RNA (497 nucleotides) under uncultured bacterium. Its description in RNAcentral is "partial 16S ribosomal RNA". It matches the Rfam family "Bacterial small subunit ribosomal RNA", at positions 28 to 507 of the family's 1533-position model. The record is from RNAcentral.